GGUAGUCAAGAUGAGAAUUCUAAGGUGAGCGAGCGAACUCUCGUUAAGGAACUCGGCAAAAUGACCCCGUAACUUCGGGAGAAGGGGUGCUCUUUAGGGUUAACGCCCAGAAGAGCCGCAGUGAAUAGGCCCAAGCGACUGUUUAUCAAAAACACAGGUCUCUGCUAAACCGUAAGGUGAUGUAUAGGGGCUGACGCCUGCCCGGUGCUGGAAGGUUAAGAGGAGUGGUUAGCUUCUGCGAAGCUACGAAUCGAAGCCCCAGUAAACGGCGGCCGUAACUAUAACGGUCCUAAGGUAGCGAAAUUCCUUGUCGGGUAAGUUCCGACCCGCACGAAAGGCGUAACGAUUUGGGCACUGUCUCAACGAGAGACUCGGUGAAAUCAUAGUACCUGUGAAGAUGCAGGUUACCCGCGACAGGACGGAAAGACCCCGUGGAGCUUUACUGUAGCCUGAUAUUGAAAUUCGGCACAGCUUGUACAGGAUAGGUAGGAGCCUUUGAAACGUGAGCGCUAGCUUACGUGGAGGCGCUGGUGGGAUACUACCCUAGCUGUGUUGGCUUUCUAACCCGCACCACUUAUCGUGGUGGGAGACAGUGUCAGGCGGGCAGUUUGACUGGGGCGGUCGCCUCCUAAAAGGUAACGGAGGCGCUCAAAGGUUCCCUCAGAAUGGUUGGAAAUCAUUCAUAGAGUGUAAAGGCAUAAGGGAGCUUGACUGCGAGACCUACAAGUCGAGCAGGGUCGAAAGACGGACUUAGUGAUCCGGUGGUUCCGCAUGGAAGGGCCAUCGCUCAACGGAUAAAAGCUACCCCGGGGAUAACAGGCUUAUCUCCCCCAAGAGUUCACAUCGACGGGGAGGUUUGGCACCUCGAUGUCGGCUCAUCGCAUCCUGGGGCUGUAGUCGGUCCCAAGGGUUGGGCUGUUCGCCCAUUAAAGCGGUACGCGAGCUGGGUUCAGAACGUCGUGAGACAGUUCGGUCCCUAUCCGUCGUGGGCGUAGGAAAUUUGAGAGGAGCUGUCCUUAGUACGAGAGGACCGGGAUGGACAUACCUCUGGUGUACCAGUUGUCGUGCCAACGGCAUAGCUGGGUAGCUAUGUGUGGACGGGAUAAGUGCUGAAAGCAUCUAAGCAUGAAGCCCCCCUCAAGAUGAGAUUUCCCAACUUCGGUUAUAAGAUCCCUCAAAGAUGAUGAGGUUAAUAGGUUCGAGGUGGAAGCAUGGUGACAUGUGGAGCUGACGAAUACUAAUCGAUCGAAGACUUAAUCUA
This 1261-nucleotide ribosomal RNA is filed under the name Staphylococcus aureus VET1956S. RNAcentral's name for it is "bacterial LSU rRNA". It matches the Rfam family "Bacterial large subunit ribosomal RNA", at positions 1662 to 2925 of the family's 2925-position model. The record is from RNAcentral. Lineage: Bacteria; Bacillati; Bacillota; Bacilli; Caryophanales; Staphylococcaceae.